AUUGAACGCUGGCGGCAUGCCUUACACAUGCAAGUCGAACGGCAGCACGGGGGCAACCCUGGUGGCGAGUGGCGAACGGGUGAGUAACAUAUCGGAACGUGCCCUGGAGUGGGGGAUAACUAGUCGAAAGAUUAGCUAAUACCGCAUACGAUCUACGGAUGAAAGUGGGGGAUCGCAAGACCUCAUGCUCGUGGAGCGGCCGAUAUCUGAUUAGCUAGUUGGUGGGGUAAAGGCCUACCAAGGCAUCGAUCAGUAGCUGGUCUGAGAGGACGACCAGCCACACUGGGACUGAGACACGGCCCAGACUCCUACGGGAGGCAGCAGUGGGGAAUUUUGGACAAUGGGCGCAAGCCUGAUCCAGCAAUGCCGCGUGAGUGAAGAAGGCCUUCGGGUUGUAAAGCUCUUUUGUCAGGGAAGAAACGGUGAGGGCUAAUAUCCUUUGCUAAUGACGGUACCUGAAGAAUAAGCACCGGCUAACUACGUGCCAGCAGCCGCGGUAAUACGUAGGGUGCAAGCGUUAAUCGGAAUUACUGGGCGUAAAGCGUGCGCAGGCGGUUGUGCAAGACCGAUGUGAAAUCCCCGGGCUUAACCUGGGAAUGGCAUUGGUGACUGCACGGCUAGAGUGUGUCAGAGGGGGGUAGAAUUCCACGUGUAGCAGUGAAAUGCGUAGAGAUGUGGAGGAAUACCGAUGGCGAAGGCAGCCCCCUGGGAUAACACUGACGCUCAUGCACGAAAGCGUGGGGAGCAAACAGGAUUAGAUACCCUGGUAGUCCACGCCCUAAACGAUGUCAACUAGUUGUCGGGUCUUAAUUGACUUGGUAACGCAGCUAACGCGUGAAGUUGACCGCCUGGGGAGUACGGUCGCAAGAUUAAAACUCAAAGGAAUUGACGGGGACCCGCACAAGCGGUGGAUGAUGUGGAUUAAUUCGAUGCAACGCGAAAAACCUUACCUACCCUUGACAUGGCAGGAAUCCCGGAGAGAUUCGGGAGUGCUCGAAAGAGAACCUGCACACAGGUGCUGCAUGGCUGUCGUCAGCUCGUGUCGUGAGAUGUUGGGUUAAGUCCCGCAACGAGCGCAACCCUUGUCAUUAGUUGCUACGAAAGGGCACUCUAAUGAGACUGCCGGUGACAAACCGGAGGAAGGUGGGGAUGACGUCAAGUCCUCAUGGCCCUUAUGGGUAGGGCUUCACACGUCAUACAAUGGUACAUACAGAGGGCCGCCAACCCGCGAGGGGGAGCUAAUCCCAGAAAGUGUAUCGUAGUCCGGAUUGCAGUCUGCAACUCGACUGCAUGAAGUUGGAAUCGCUAGUAAUCGCGGAUCAGCAUGUAGCGGUGAAUACGUUCCCGGGUGU
Molecule: ribosomal RNA, 1352 nt
Filed under: uncultured bacterium
Lineage: Bacteria
Description: bacterial SSU rRNA
Rfam family: Bacterial small subunit ribosomal RNA
Source: RNAcentral